CGGAUUGGAGUCUGCAACCCGACUCCAUGAAGCUGGAUUCGCUAGUAAUCGCGCAUCAGCCACGGCGCGGUGAAUACGUUCCCGGGCCUUGUACACACCGCCCGUCAAGCCAUGGAAGCCGGGAGUGCCUGAAGUGCGUGAGCGCAAGCAGCGCCCUAAGGUAAAACCGGUGACUGGGGCUAAGUCGUAACAAGGUAAC
RNAcentral lists this ribosomal RNA (199 nucleotides) under uncultured bacterium. Its description in RNAcentral is "partial 16S ribosomal RNA". It matches the Rfam family "Bacterial small subunit ribosomal RNA", at positions 1294 to 1500 of the family's 1533-position model. The record is from RNAcentral.